UACGUAGGGGGCUAGCGUUGUCCGGAAUCAUUGGGCGUAAAGCGCGUGUAGGCGGUCCGGUAAGUCCGCUGUGAAAGUCCGGGGCUCAACCUCGGAUCGGCCGUGGCGACUCGUGGGCUGGAGCACUGUAGAGGCGGGUGGAAUUCCGGGUGUAGCGGUGGAAUGCGUAGAGAUCCGGAAGAACACCAGUGGCGAAGGCGGCCCGCUGGGCAGUGGCUGACGCUGAAGCGCGACAGCGUGGGGAGCAAACAGG
RNAcentral lists this ribosomal RNA (253 nucleotides) under uncultured bacterium. RNAcentral describes it as "partial 16S ribosomal RNA". It matches the Rfam family "Bacterial small subunit ribosomal RNA", at positions 524 to 776 of the family's 1533-position model. The record is from RNAcentral.